GAGUGUGGCCCGACGGCAAUGAAUACUGCUAACUUUCGUCCCCUUGGUUAAACUCCAAGGUACUCUCA
This 68-nucleotide transfer RNA is filed under the name Zenion japonicum (Japanese dory). RNAcentral's name for it is "tRNA-Ser". Lineage: Eukaryota; Metazoa; Chordata; Actinopteri; Zeiformes; Zenionidae. The record is from RNAcentral.